This 253-nucleotide ribosomal RNA is filed under the name uncultured bacterium. RNAcentral describes it as "partial 16S ribosomal RNA". It matches the Rfam family "Archaeal small subunit ribosomal RNA", at positions 474 to 727 of the family's 1478-position model. The record is from RNAcentral.
UACCAGCACCCCGAGUGGUCGGGACGAUUAUUGGGCCUAAAGCAUCCGUAGCCGGUUCUACAAGUCUUCCGUUAAAUCCACCUGCUCAACAGAUGGGCUGCGGAGGAUACUAUAGAGCUAGGAGGCGGGAGAGGCAAGCGGUACUUAGUGGGUAGGGGUAAAAUCCGUUGAUCCAUUGAAGACCACCAGUGGCGAAGGCAGCUUGCCAGAACGCACUCGACGGUGAGGGAUGAAAGCUGGGGGAGCAAACCGG